Molecule: small RNA, 640 nt
Filed under: Pan troglodytes (chimpanzee)
Lineage: Eukaryota; Metazoa; Chordata; Mammalia; Primates; Hominidae
Description: processed transcript
Source: RNAcentral
CGUGCUUCUCGGUGCCGCUGCCCGCGCGCCUGCGGUCGUCUUUGCCCGAGUUCCAGGCAGCGCCCGAGGCCGAGCCCGAGCCCGGCGAGCCACUGCUUCAGGUCACGCUGGUCGACUGCCCCGGGCACGCCUCCCUCAUCCGGACCAUCAUCGGCGGGGCCCAGAUCAUUGAUCUGAUGAUGCUGGUCAUUGAUGUGACCAAGGGGAUGCAGACCCAGUCAGCGGAAUGCCUUGUGAUCGGCCAGAUUGCCUGCCAGAAGCUGGUCGUGGUGCUGAACAAAAUAGACCUCUUACCUGAAGGAAAGAGACAGGCAGCAAUUGAUAAAAUGACCAAGAAAAUGCAGAAGACCCUAGAGAACACCAAGUGGUGAAGAAGGUGAAGUCCAUGCAGAUGUUCCACAUGCCCAUCACUUCAGCCAUGCAAGGAGACCGGCUGGGCAUCUGCGUCACCCAGUUUGACCCUAAGCUGCUGGAGCGCGGGUUGGUGUGUGCCCCCGAGUCCCUGCACACUGUCCAUGCGGCCCUCAUCUCUGUGGAAAAGAUACCGUAUUUCCGGGGGCCCCUGCAAACCAAGGCCAAGUUCCACAUUACAGUGGGCCAUGAAACAGUCAUGGGCCGGUUGAUGUUCUUCAGUCCUGCU